GAGGGGGUACCGCCAAAGUUUGAUCCUGGCUCCGGGGGUCGGAGAUUGGGGUGGCGGCGAGUGGUGAACGGGUGAGUAAUAUAUCGGAACGUACCCUAGAGUGGGGGAUAACGUAGCGAAAGUUACGCUAAUACCGCAUACGAUCUAAGGAUGAAAGUGGGGGAUCGCAAGACCUCAUGCUCGUGGAGCGGCCGAUAUCUGAUUAGCUAGUUGGUAGGGUAAAAGCCUACCAAGGCAUCGAUCAGUAGCUGGUCUGAGAGGACGACCAGCCACACUGGAACUGAGACACGGUCCAGACUCCUACGGGAGGCAGCAGUGGGGAAUUUUGGACAAUGGGCGAAAGCCUGAUCCCCAGAGGCUAAUGCACUGCGUGAAGUGGAAGAAGGCCUUCGGGUUGUAAAGGCUCUUUUGUUCAAGGAAAGAAAACCGGUGAAAAGUCUUAAAUAUUCUUUUUGCUAGAUGACCGGUACCUUGAAAGAAAUAAGCACCGGCUAAACUACGUGCCCAGCAGCCGCGGUAAUACGUAGGGUGCAAGCGUUAAUCGGAAAUUACUGGGCGUAAAGCGUGCGCAGGCGGUUUUGUAAGUCUGAUGUGAAAUCCCCGGGCUCAACCUGGGAAUUGCAUUGGGAGACUGCAAGGCUAGAAUCUGGGCAGAGGGGGGUAGAAUUUCCACGUGUAGCAAUGGAAAGGCGUAAAUAUGGUGGAAGGAACCACCGAUGGGCGAAGGCAGCCCCCUGGGUUCAAGAAUGGACGCCUCAUGCACGAAAGCCUGUGGGGAAGCAAACAGGAUUAAGAUACCCCUGGUAGUCCACGCCCCUAAACGAAUGUCUACUAGUUGUCGGGUCUCAAUGGACUUGGUAACGCAGCUAACGCGUGAAGUAGACCGCCUGGGGGAGUACGGUCGCAAGAUUAAAACUCAAAGGAAUUGACGGGGACCCGCACAAGCGGUGGAUGAUGUGGAUUAAUUCGAUGCCAACGCGAAAAACCUUACCUACCAUUGACAUGCCUGGAAUCCUUGAGAGAUCAGGGAGUGCUCGAAAGAAAACCAGUACACAGGUGCUGCAUGGCUGUCAUCAGCUCGUGUCCAGUGCAGAUGUUGCGGUUAAGUCCAGCAACGAGCGCAACCCUUGUCAUUAGUUGCUACGAAAGGGCACUCUAAUGAGACUGCCGGUGACAAACCGGAGGAAGGUGGGGAUGACGUCAAGUCCUCAUGGCCCUUAUGGGUAGGGCUUCACACGUCAUACAAUGGUACAUACAGAGCGCCGCCAACCCGCGAGGGGGAGCUAAUCGCAGAAAGUGUAUCGUAGUCCGGAUUGUAGUCUGCAACUCGACUGCAUGAAGUUGGAAUCGCUAGUAAUCGCGGAUCAGCAUGUCGCGGUGAAUACGUUCCCGGGUCUUGUACACACCGCCCAACACACCAUGGGAGCGGUUUUUCCUUUACCCCGUACCCAACCACGUCGAACCAGGGCACCUCUGU
RNAcentral lists this ribosomal RNA (1477 nucleotides) under Janthinobacterium sp. RNAcentral describes it as "bacterial SSU rRNA". It matches the Rfam family "Bacterial small subunit ribosomal RNA". The record is from RNAcentral. Lineage: Bacteria; Pseudomonadati; Pseudomonadota; Betaproteobacteria; Burkholderiales; Oxalobacteraceae.